This 1032-nucleotide long non-coding RNA is filed under the name Gadus morhua (Atlantic cod). RNAcentral describes it as "lncRNA (ENSGMOG00000023875.1)". The record is from RNAcentral. Lineage: Eukaryota; Metazoa; Chordata; Actinopteri; Gadiformes; Gadidae.
CAGCUUGUGGUUCCAUCUGUGUACGGGAACCAGGGCCAUGUGGUGGUGGGGUACGGUAAACAGACCCAGAGCCAUGAGGUGGUGGGGUACGGUGGUCAGACCCAGAGCCAUGAGGUGGAUGGGUACGGUGGACAGACCCAGAGCCAUGAGGUUGAGGGGUACGGUGGACAGACCCAGAGCCAUGAGGUGGAGGGGUACAGUGGACAGACCCAGAGCCAUGAGGUGGUGGGGUAUGGUGAACAGACCCAGAGCCAUAAGGUGGUUGGGUACGGUGAACAGACCCAGAGCCAUGAGGUGGUGGGGUAUGGUGAACAGACCCAGAGCCAUGAGGUGGUGGGGUAUGGUGAACAGACCCAGAGCCAUGAGGUGGUGGGGUACGGUGAACAGACCCAGAGCCAUGAGGUGGUGAAGUAUGGUGAACAGACCCUGAGCCAUGAGGUGGUGGGGUAUGGUGAACAGACCCAGAGCCAUGAGGUGGUGGGGUACGGUGGACAGACCCAGAGCCAUGAGGUGGUGGGGUACGGCGGACAGACCCAGAGCCAUGAGGUGGUGGGGUACGGUAAACAGACCCAGAGCCAUGAGGUGGUGGGGUACGGUGAACAUACCCAGAGCCACAAGGUGGUGGGGUACGGCGGACAGACCCAGAGCCAUGAGGUGGAGGGGUACGGUGGACAGACCCAGAGCCAUGAGGGGGUGGGGUAUGGUGGACAAACCCAGAGCCAUGAGGUGGUGGGGUACGGUGAACAGACCCAGAGCCAUGAGGUGGUGGGGUAUGGUGAACAGACCCAGAGCCAUGAGGUGGUGGGGUACGGUGAACAGACCCAGAGCCAUGAGGUGGUGAAGUAUGGUGAACAGACCCUGAGCCAUGAGGUGGUGGGGUAUGGUGAACAGACCCAGAGCCAUGAGGUGGUGGGGUAUGGUGAACAGACCCUGAGCCAUGAGGUGGUGGGGUAUGGUGAACAGACCCAGAGCCAUGAGGUGGUGGGGUAUGGCGCGGUGUCCUCUUACCCAGACUGUAGGCGGCCUUUGUGA